RNAcentral lists this ribosomal RNA (600 nucleotides) under uncultured bacterium. RNAcentral describes it as "bacterial SSU rRNA". It matches the Rfam family "Bacterial small subunit ribosomal RNA", at positions 338 to 965 of the family's 1533-position model. The record is from RNAcentral.
CCUACGGGAGGCAGCAGUGGGGAAUAUUGGACAAUGGGCGAAAGCCUGAUCCAGCAAUGCCGCGUGAGUGAUGAAGGCCUUCGGGUCGUAAAGCUCUUUUACCAGGGAUGAUAAUGACAGUACCUGGAGAAUAAGCUCCGGCUAACUCCGUGCCAGCAGCCGCGGUAAUACGGAGGGAGCUAGCGUUGUUCGGAAUUACUGGGCGUAAAGAGUACGUAGGCGGUUAUUCAAGUCAGAGGUGAAAGCCCGGGGCUCAACCCCGGAACUGCCUUUGAAACUAGAUAACUAGAGUCUUGGAGAGGUUAGUGGAAUUCCGAGUGUAGAGGUGAAAUUCGUAGAUAUUCGGAAGAACACCAGUGGCGAAGGCGACUAACUGGACAAGUACUGACGCUGAGGUACGAAAGCGUGGGGAGCAAACAGGAUUAGAUACCCUGGUAGUCCACGCCGUAAACGAUGAUAACUAGUUGUUCGGUCACUUGGUGACUGAGUGACGCAGCUAACGCAUUAAGUUAUCCGCCUGGGGAGUACGGUCGCAAGAUUAAAACUCAAAAGUAUAAGUACGGACGNGAGAACGUAGCGACGAGACACACGGAGGUAAGG